CCGAGUACCGGGUCUCCGGGCCCCUACUCCCACCCUUUGUGUACCUACCUGUUUUCGUUGCCUCGGCGGGGUCGAUCCCUAGGGCCUGCCCGGCCCGCGGGGGACCCGCCGGGGGGACACACCUAAACUCUUGUCAACGGUGACGUCUGAGAAACAAACAAACUAGUCA
This 169-nucleotide unclassified non-coding RNA is filed under the name soil metagenome. Its description in RNAcentral is "partial internal transcribed spacer 1". The record is from RNAcentral.